GAUGAAGAACGUAGUGAAACGCGAUAAGUAAUGUGAAUUGCAGAAUCCAGUGAAUCAUCGAAUCUUUGAACGCACAUUGCGCCCGCCAGCAUUCUGGCGGGCAUGCCUGUUCGAGCGUCAUUUCAACCCUCGACCUCCCCUUGGGGAGGUCGGCGUUGGGGACCGGCAGCACACCGCCGGCCCUGAAAUGGAGUGGCGGCCCGUCCGCGGCGACCUCUGCGCAGUAAUACAGCUCGCACCGGGACCCCGACGCGGCCACGCCGUAAAACACCCAACUUCUGAACGUUGACCUCGAAUCAGGUAGGACUACCCGCUGAACUUAAGCAUAUCAUAAGCGGAGGA
This 342-nucleotide unclassified non-coding RNA is filed under the name soil metagenome. Its description in RNAcentral is "partial contains 5.8S ribosomal RNA, internal transcribed spacer 2, and large subunit ribosomal RNA". The stretch from base 1 to 120 matches the Rfam family "5.8S ribosomal RNA", at positions 35 to 154 of the family's 154-position model. The record is from RNAcentral.